Molecule: long non-coding RNA, 386 nt
Filed under: Elaeis guineensis (African oil palm)
Lineage: Eukaryota; Viridiplantae; Streptophyta; Magnoliopsida; Arecales; Arecaceae
Description: long non-coding RNA (EGUI_LNC038509)
Source: RNAcentral
ACCUGCUCUCUUGGGAUGCUAGAGUUCUCUCUUAGAGUUUUAGUGACCCUAGUAAUCCAACUUUUGAUAGAUGUAUAUGGCAUAGAUUUUGGAUGUUUUAAUAUGUUUUUCUAUUUGAAAUUACUUUUGUAAUUGUAUUUUGAUAAUCAAUGAAAAUCUGAUCUUCAUUAAAAAUUUAGUGUGUUUGAUGUGCUCACUCACUUGAUGCUUACAUUUGUGUUUAUCUAUUUGAUUGAAAUUAUGCUUUAUUUAUAAAACAAAAGGAGAGAAUUAAGAAAAAUAAAUUUUUUGAUAUUUAUUUUUGAAACCAGAGGAAGAAAUCAAAAUUAGAAAGAGAAAUGAUCUUUGAACAUAAUAAGAAAUCAUUAAUAUUUUGCUCCAAUCAU